GAUGAACGCUGGCGGUGGGCCUAAUACAUGCAAGUCGAGCGAACGGACGAUAAGCUUGCGUCCUUGAGGUUAGCGGCGGACGGGUGGGUAAGACGUGGAUAAGCUACUUAUUAGACGGGGAGAACUUCGUAAAGCCGCUGCUAAUACCGGAUAAUAUUUUGAACCGCAUGAUUCAAAAGUUCAAGACGCCUUUGCUGUCACUUAUAGAUGGAUCCGCGCUGCAUUAGCUAGUUGGUAAGGUACCGGCUUACCAAGGCAACGAUGCAUAGCCGACCUGAGAGGGUGAUCGGCCACACUGGAACUGAGACACGGUCCAGACUCCUACGGGAGGCAGCAGUAGGGAAUCUUGCGCAAUGGGCGCAAGCCUGACGGAGCAACACCGCGUGAGUGAAGAAGGUCUUCGGAUCGUAAAACUCUGUUAUUAGGAAAGAAAAUAUGUGUAAGUAAAUGUGGAUAUCCUGGCGGUACCUAAACAGUAAGCACCGGCUAACUACGUG
Molecule: ribosomal RNA, 497 nt
Filed under: uncultured bacterium
Lineage: Bacteria
Description: partial 16S ribosomal RNA
Rfam family: Bacterial small subunit ribosomal RNA
Source: RNAcentral